CACGUAGGGCGCAAGCGUUGUCCGGAAUUAUUGGGCGUAAAGAGCUCGUAGGCGGUCUGUUGCGUCUGCUGUGAAAACCCGGGGCUUAACCCCUGGCUUGCAGUGGAUACGGACAGACUAGAGGUAGGUAGGGGAGAAUGGAAUUCCCGGUGUAGCGGUGAAAUGCGCAGAUAUCGGGAGGAACACCGGUGGCGAAGGCGGCUCACUGGACCGGUACUGACGCUGAUGCGCGAAAGCGUGGGGAGCAAACGGG
This 253-nucleotide ribosomal RNA is filed under the name uncultured bacterium. Its description in RNAcentral is "partial 16S ribosomal RNA". It matches the Rfam family "Bacterial small subunit ribosomal RNA", at positions 524 to 776 of the family's 1533-position model. The record is from RNAcentral.